RNAcentral lists this ribosomal RNA (377 nucleotides) under uncultured Acidovorax sp. RNAcentral's name for it is "bacterial SSU rRNA". It matches the Rfam family "Bacterial small subunit ribosomal RNA", at positions 1003 to 1382 of the family's 1533-position model. The record is from RNAcentral. Lineage: Bacteria; Pseudomonadati; Pseudomonadota; Betaproteobacteria; Burkholderiales; Comamonadaceae.
GAUAGAGGAGUGCUCGAAAGAGAACCGUAACACAGGUGCUGCAUGGCUGUCGUCAGCUCGUGUCGUGAGAUGUUGGGUUAAGUCCCGCAACGAGCGCAACCCUUGUCAUUAGUUGCUACAUUCAGUUGGGCACUCUAAUGAGACUGCCGGUGACAAACCGGAGGAAGGUGGGGAUGACGUCAAGUCCUCAUGGCCCUUAUAGGUGGGGCUACACACGUCAUACAAUGGAUGGUACAAAGGGUCGCCAACCCGCGAGGGGGAGCCAAUCCCAUAAAGCCAUUCGUAGUCCGGAUCGCAGUCUGCAACUCGACUGCGUGAAGUCGGAAUCGCUAGUAAUCGUGGAUCAGAAUGUCACGGUGAAUACGUUCCCGGGUCUU